UGAGGAAUAUUGCGCAAUGGGCGAAAGCCUGACGCAGCAACGCCGCGUGGGGGAUGAAGGAGCUUUGCUUUGUAAACCCCUGUAGGGAGGGACGAAUCGCCGAUUUUUUCGGUAUUGACGGUACCUCCAAAGUAAGCACCGGCUAACUCCGUGCCAGCAGCCGCGGUAAUACGGAGGGUGCAAGCGUUGUCCGGAUUCACUGGGUGUAAAGGGCGUGUAGGCGGGAAGAUGUGUCGGAAGUGAAAUCGCGCGGCUUAACCGUGUCAAUUGCUUCCGAAACUGUUUUUCUUGAAUGCGAGAGAGGUAGAUGGAAUUCCAGGUGUAGCGGUGGAAUGCGUAGAUAUCUGGAAGAACACCGGUGGCGAAGGCGGUCUACUGGCUCGCGAUUGACGCUGAGGCGCGAAAGUGUGGGGAGCAAACAGG
RNAcentral lists this ribosomal RNA (423 nucleotides) under uncultured bacterium. Its description in RNAcentral is "bacterial SSU rRNA". It matches the Rfam family "Bacterial small subunit ribosomal RNA", at positions 355 to 776 of the family's 1533-position model. The record is from RNAcentral.